Molecule: ribosomal RNA, 481 nt
Filed under: uncultured bacterium
Lineage: Bacteria
Description: bacterial SSU rRNA
Rfam family: Bacterial small subunit ribosomal RNA
Source: RNAcentral
UCAGUCGACUCCUACGGGGAGGCAGCAGUGGGGGAAUAUUGCACAAUGGGCGCAAGCCUGAUGCAGCCAUGCCGCGUGUAUGAAGAAGGACCUUCGGGUUGUAAAGGUACUUUCAGCAGUGAGGAAGGCGGGUACGGUUAAUAGCGUGCUCGUUUGACGUUAGCUGCAGAAGAAGCACCGGCUAACUCCGUGCCAGCAGCCGCGGUAAUACGGAGGGUGCGAGCGUUAAUCGGAAUUACUGGGCGUAAAGCGCAUGCAGGUGGUUUGUUAAGUCAGAUGUGAAAGCCCGGGGCGUCAACCUCGGAAUUGCAUUUGUAAACUGGCAGACUAGAGUACUGUAGAGGGGGGUAGGAAUUUCAGGUGUAGCGGUGAAAUGCGUAGAGAUCUGAAGGAAUACCGGUGGCGAAGGCGGCCCCCUGGACAGAUACUGACACUCAGAUGCGAAAGCGUGGGGAGCAAACAGGAUUAGAUACCCUGGUAG